GCUAGUCUGAGCGAGUGCGACGGAGGAGACCCCCGUCCGGGCACCGCACUUGCAGCCCCAGCAACUCCCACCCGCGAUCGCGGCUCCCCGACUCCCAAACGCCUCCUGCAGCCCGCGUGGGUCAGCGUGGGAGAGCUUCCCGGUCUCCACGGCCGGAUUGCGAACUUGGAGAGGACCUCGACUGUCUCCCCGGCCUGGAGAGUGAACAGGGUAGUGAACUCUUCUGAUUGACGAUGACACAGUGAAACUAAAGGCCACCACCAAAACUAUCCGCUCGCAUCCCGAGUCUGAACAUUAAACCUGUUUCCACCAGCCAUGGCUAAGAGCGCAGAGGUCAAGCUGGCCAUAUUUGGAAGAGCAGGCGUGGGCAAAUCAGCGAUUGUGGUGAGAUUUCUGACCAAACGGUUCAUCUGGGA
RNAcentral lists this long non-coding RNA (416 nucleotides) under Rattus norvegicus (Norway rat). Its description in RNAcentral is "long non-coding RNA NONRATT021931". The record is from RNAcentral. Lineage: Eukaryota; Metazoa; Chordata; Mammalia; Rodentia; Muridae.